AGAGUUUGAUCAUGGCUCAGAGUGAACGCUGGCGGCGUGCUUAACACAUGCAAGUCGAACGAGAACGGGUUAUAGCUUGCUAUAACUGUCAGCUAAGUGGCGCACGGGUGAGUAAUAUAUAGUUAAUCUGCCCUAGAGAAAGGGAUAACGUUUGGAAACGAACGCUAACACCUUAUAUGCCUUUAAGUCAUAAGUGUGCAAGGGAAACAUUUAUGGCUCUAGGAUGAGACUGUACGGUAUCAGUUAGUUGGUGAGGUAAUGGCUCACCAAGACAAUGACGCCUAACUGGUUGAGAGGAUGAUCAGCACACGAAAA
Molecule: ribosomal RNA, 315 nt
Filed under: uncultured Arcobacter sp.
Lineage: Bacteria; Pseudomonadati; Campylobacterota; Epsilonproteobacteria; Campylobacterales; Arcobacteraceae
Description: bacterial SSU rRNA
Rfam family: Bacterial small subunit ribosomal RNA
Source: RNAcentral